CCUACGGGAGGCAGCAGUGAGGAAUAUUGGUCAAUGGGCGCGAGCCUGAACCAGCCAAGUCGCGUGAGGGAAGACGGUCCUAUGGAUUGUAAACCUCUUUUGUCGGGGAGCAAAAGACGCCACGCGUGGCGUUCCGAGAGUACCCGAAGAAAAAGCAUCGGCUAACUCCGUGCCAGCAGCCGCGGUAAUACGGAGGAUGCGAGCGUUAUCCGGAUUUAUUGGGUUUAAAGGGUGCGCAGGCGGAAGGUCAAGUCAGCGGUAAAAUUGAGGGGCUCAACCUCGUCGAGCCGUUGAAACUGGUUGUCUUGAGUGAGUGAGAAGUAUGCGGAAUGCGUGGUGUAGCGGUGAAAUGCAUAGAUAUCACGCAGAACUCCGAUUGCGAAGGCAGCAUACCGGCGCUCAACUGACGCUCAUGCACGAAAGUGUGGGUAUCGAACAGGAUUAGAUACCCCAGUAGUC
This 459-nucleotide ribosomal RNA is filed under the name uncultured bacterium. RNAcentral describes it as "partial 16S ribosomal RNA". It matches the Rfam family "Bacterial small subunit ribosomal RNA", at positions 338 to 795 of the family's 1533-position model. The record is from RNAcentral.